GGGUCAGUAGGUUGGUCGUGCCACCGGUACGUACUGGUCUCGCUGAUUCCUCCUUCCUGAAGAACCGUAAUGCCAUUAAUUUGGUGUUGCGGGGAAACAGGACUGUUACUUUGAAAAAAUUAGAGUGUUUAAAGCAAGCUAACGCUUGAAUACAUUAACAUGGAAUAAUGAAAUAGGACGAUCGAUCCUAUUUUGUUGGUUUCUAGGAUUGACGUA
This 216-nucleotide ribosomal RNA is filed under the name Glomeromycotina sp. RNAcentral describes it as "partial small subunit ribosomal RNA". The stretch from base 44 to 216 matches the Rfam family "Eukaryotic small subunit ribosomal RNA", at positions 690 to 864 of the family's 1831-position model. Lineage: Eukaryota; Fungi; Glomeromycota. The record is from RNAcentral.